Molecule: ribosomal RNA, 1780 nt
Filed under: Salmonella enterica subsp. enterica
Lineage: Bacteria; Pseudomonadati; Pseudomonadota; Gammaproteobacteria; Enterobacterales; Enterobacteriaceae
Description: partial 23S ribosomal RNA
Rfam family: Bacterial large subunit ribosomal RNA
Source: RNAcentral
UGUAACGGGGCUAAACCAUGCACCGAAGCUGCGGCAGCGACGCUGAUGCGUUGUUGGGUAGGGGAGCGUUCUGUAAGCCUGCGAAGGUGGCCUGUGAGGGUUGCUGGAGGUAUCAGAAGUGCGAAUGCUGACAUAAGUAACGAUAAAGCGGGUGAAAAGCCCGCUCGCCGGAAGACCAAGGGUUCCUGUCCAACGUUAAUCGGGGCAGGGUGAGUCGACCCCUAAGGCGAGGCCGAAAGGCGUAGUCGAUGGGAAACGGGUUAAUAUUCCCGUACUUGGUGUUACUGCGAAGGGGGGACGGAGAAGGCUAUGUUGGCCGGGCGACGGUUGUCCCGGUUUAAGCGUGUAGGUGUGUGUUCCAGGUAAAUCCGGUUCACUUUAACACUGAGGCGUGAUGACGAGGCACUACGGUGCUGAAGCAACAAAUGCCCUGCUUCCAGGAAAAGCCUCUAAGCAUCAGGUAACAUCAAAUCGUACCCCAAACCGACACAGGUGGUCAGGUAGAGAAUACCAAGGCGCUUGAGAGAACUCGGGUGAAGGAACUAGGCAAAAUGGUGCCGUAACUUCGGGAGAAGGCACGCUGACACGUAGGUGAAGUGAUUUACUCAUGGAGCUGAAGUCAGUCGAAGAUACCAGCUGGCUGCAACUGUUUAUUAAAAACACAGCACUGUGCAAACACGAAAGUGGACGUAUACGGUGUGACGCCUGCCCGGUGCCGGAAGGUUAAUUGAUGGGGUCAGCGCAAGCGAAGCUCCUGAUCGAAGCCCCGGUAAACGGCGGCCGUAACUAUAACGGUCCUAAGGUAGCGAAAUUCCUUGUCGGGUAAGUUCCGACCUGCACGAAUGGCGUAAUGAUGGCCAGGCUGUCUCCACCCGAGACUCAGUGAAAUUGAACUCGCUGUGAAGAUGCAGUGUACCCGCGGCAAGACGGAAAGACCCCGUGAACCUUUACUAUAGCUUGACACUGAACAUUGAGCCUUGAUGUGUAGGAUAGGUGGGAGGCUUUGAAGUGUGGACGCCAGUCUGCAUGGAGCCGGCCUUGAAAUACCACCCUUUAAUGUUUGAUGUUCUAACGUGGACCCGUGAUCCGGGUUGCGGACAGUGUCUGGUGGGUAGUUUGACUGGGGCGGUCUCCUCCUAAAGAGUAACGGAGGAGCACGAAGGUUGGCUAAUCCUGGUCGGACAUCAGGAGGUUAGUGCAAUGGCAUAAGCCAGCUUGACUGCGAGCGUGACGGCGCGAGCAGGUGCGAAAGCAGGUCAUAGUGAUCCGGUGGUUCUGAAUGGAAGGGCCAUCGCUCAACGGAUAAAAGGUACUCCGGGGAUAACAGGCUGAUACCGCCCAAGAGUUCAUAUCGACGGCGGUGUUUGGCACCUCGAUGUCGGCUCAUCACAUCCUGGGGCUGAAGUAGGUCCCAAGGGUAUGGCUGUUCGCCAUUUAAAGUGGUACGCGAGCUGGGUUUAGAACGUCGUGAGACAGUUCGGUCCCUAUCUGCCGUGGGCGCUGGAGAACUGAGGGGGGCUGCUCCUAGUACGAGAGGACCGGAGUGGACGCAUCACUGGUGUUCGGGUUGUCAUGCCAAUGGCACUGCCCGGUAGCUAAAUGCGGAAGAGAUAAGUGCUGAAAGCAUCUAAGCACGAAACUUGCCCCGAGAUGAGUUCUCCCUGAGACUUAGAGUCUCCUGAAGGAACGUUGAAGACGACGACGUUGAUAGGCCGGGUGUGUAAGCGCAGCGAUGCGUUGAGCUAACCGGUACUAAUGAACCGUGAGGCUUAACCUUACA